GUGGGGAAUAUUGGACAAUGGGCGCAAGCCUGAUCCAGCCAUGCCGCGUGAGUGAUGAAGGCCUUAGGGUUGUAAAGCUCUUUCACCGAUGAAGAUAAUGACGGUAGUCGGAGAAGAAGCCCCGGCUAACUUCGUGCCAGCAGCCGCGGUAAUACGAAGGGGGCUAGCGUUGUUCGGAUUUACUGGGCGUAAAGCGCACGUAGGCGGUUUGUUAAGUCAGAGGUGAAAUCCCGGAGCUCAACUCCGGAAGUGCCUUUGAUACUGGCAAGCUAGAGUCCGGAAGAGGGAAGUGGAACUCCUAGUGUAGAGGUGGAAUUCGUAGAUAUUAGGAAGAACACCAGUGGCGAAGGCGGCUUACUGGUCCGGAACUGACGCUGAGGUGCGAAAGCGUGGGGAGCAAACAGGAUUAGAAACCCGAGUAGUCC
RNAcentral lists this ribosomal RNA (425 nucleotides) under uncultured bacterium. Its description in RNAcentral is "bacterial SSU rRNA". It matches the Rfam family "Bacterial small subunit ribosomal RNA", at positions 354 to 796 of the family's 1533-position model. The record is from RNAcentral.